AUUGAACGCUGGCGGCAUGCCUUACACAUGCAAGUCGAACGGUAACAGGUCUUCGGAUGCUGACGAGUGGCGAACGGGUGAGUAAUACAUCGGAACGUGCCCGAUCGUGGGGGAUAACGCAGCGAAAGCUGUGCUAAUACCGCAUACGAUCUACGGAUGAAAGCGGGGGAUCGCAAGACCUCGCGCGGACGGAGCGGCCGAUGGCAGAUUAGGUAGUUGGUGGGAUAAAAGCUUACCAAGCCGACGAUCUGUAGCUGGUCUGAGAGGACGACCAGCCACACUGGGACUGAGACACGGCCCAGACUCCUACGGGAGGCAGCAGUGGGGAAUUUUGGACAAUGGGGGAAACCCUGAUCCAGCCAUGCCGCGUGCAGGAUGAAGGCCUUCGGGUUGUAAACUGCUUUUGUACGGAACGAAAAGGUCCUUUCUAAUAAAGAGGGCUCAUGACGGUACCGUAAGAAUAAGCACCGGCUAACUACGUGCCAGCAGCCGCGGUAAUACGUAGGGUGCGAGCGUUAAUCGGAAUUACUGGGCGUAAAGCGUGCGCAGGCGGUUAUAUAAGACAGAUGUGAAAUCCCCGGGCUCAACCUUGGAACUGCCUUUGAAACUCUCAGUCUUGAGGUCGAGAGAGGUGAGUGGAAUUCCGAGUGUAGAGGUGAAAUUCGUAGAUA
Molecule: ribosomal RNA, 671 nt
Filed under: uncultured bacterium
Lineage: Bacteria
Description: bacterial SSU rRNA
Rfam family: Bacterial small subunit ribosomal RNA
Source: RNAcentral